Molecule: ribosomal RNA, 520 nt
Filed under: uncultured Ascomycota
Lineage: Eukaryota; Fungi; Ascomycota
Description: SSU rRNA
Rfam family: Eukaryotic small subunit ribosomal RNA
Source: RNAcentral
GAUUAAGCCAUGCAUGUCUAAGUAUAAGCAAUCUAUACGGUGAAACUGCGAAUGGCUCAUUAAAUCAGUUAUCGUUUAUUUGAUAGUACCUUACUACUUGGAUAACCGUGGUAAUUCUAGAGCUAAUACAUGCUAAAAACCCCGACUUCGGAAGGGGUGUAUUUAUUAGAUAAAAAACCAAUGCCCUUCGGGGCUCCUUGGUGAUUCAUAAUAACUUAACGAAUCGCAUGGCCUUGUGCCGGCGAUGGUUCAUUCAAAUUUCUGCCCUAUCAACUUUCGAUGGUAGGAUAGUGGCCUACCAUGGUUUCAACGGGUAACGGGGAAUUAGGGUUCUAUUCCGGAGAGGGAGCCUGAGAAACGGCUACCACAUCCAAGGAAGGCAGCAGGCGCGCAAAUUACCCAAUCCCGACACGGGGAGGUAGUGACAAUAAAUACUGAUACAGGGCUCUUUUGGGUCUUGUAAUUGGAAUGAGUACAAUUUAAAUCCCUUAACGAGGAACAAUUGGAGGGCAAGUCUGGU